GAAAAGUAAAUGAGAAAGAAAACCUUAAAUCAAGGUUGCAGAAAAGACUGGAAAUGGGCAAGAAACACAAAGAUGUUUCUACUGAGGACAGAAUGGAGAAUGACAGAGGGAGAAAUGAAGAGUGAACUCAGAAAAGAGAGAUGACUGCAGACUGACUGACUGAGAAAGAUAAUAAUGUUAGAUAAAUAUUAAGUCAUUAAAUGCAAACUUAGAAUAUAAUAGGAUAUGCAUAUAAUCAAUUCAGUAUGUAUGAUUUCAUGGUUUCUGUUCAUUAAUUAAUUUUAUCUGUCAAAGACAUAAAAGUCUGUGGGCGGGGCUAACACUGACCAAGGCUAACACUGAACGAAGCUAACACUGGGUGUGGCUAACAUUGAGCGAAGCUAACAUUGAGCUAAGCUAACACUGGAUGUGGCUAACAUUGAGCGAAGCUAGCACUGGGUGUGGCUAACAUUGAGCGAAGCUAACAUUGAGCGAAGCUAACAUUGAGCGAAGCUAACACUGAGCGAAGCUAACAUUGAGCGAAGCUAACACUGAGCGAAGCUAACAUUGAGCUAAGCUAACACUGGGUGUGGCUAACAUUGAGCGAAGCGAACAUUGAGCGAAGCUAACACUGGGUGUGGCUAACAUUGAGCGAACCUAACACUCAGCGAAGCUAACACUGAGCGAAGCUAACACUCACCUGUGGAAAUCUGCUAGUUUAUUCUGAUUCUUUGAACAUCAAUAAAGUCUUUGACUUUAUCUGGCUUUAACCUCUACCGAUUAAAUCUUUCAGUAAUACGUUACUGAAUGAUACCAAGAAAAAUAAAAAAUAUUUAAUUUAAGGUCACAAAAGAUGUUUCUCAUUUGUUGUAGAAUGUUUUCUUUGGCUGAUAACUCUCACUCUUCUGAUUGAAAUUGAUAACUGUGUAUGUUAUGUUUGUUUCACGUUUCACUCACUUUGGGUGACACAGCGCCCCCAGAGGUGAGGCGUAGCACUGCACUGCCUCGCAUGAACCUUUCCAUGUAUUUAAACAGGUAAGGUGUAAAACUUUUGAUAUUACCAAUAAUAAAAACAAAUUAAUGGAAAGGUUUGAGUUUUCCUCAUCGAUGAUGAUGGAAAAUGAUGAUGUUAGCAUGUAUUUAAUUUUUCAUGUGCCAAACGAGGUAAAGCCUCACCUGUAAUCCUGACAGUGGAUCACUGAUGGAUGAUAAUCUGCUGCUUCUUUGCUGUCUAUUAAUUAUAAAAUCUCUCCAAUGAGUUCAGAGGAAAGUUGAGGAGGAGCUGAGAGAAUCUGGGAGGAGCUGAUCUAUUGCUGAACUCUAGAGACUCAAACUUCCUCAGUUCAGUUCAGUUAAACUCUCCAACAUUCACUCUGCUCAACAUGCUGUCUCUGCUCAUCGCCUCUCUGCUAACAGGAGUCAGAUGCCAACAACUCACUGCGCUUCAGAAAGAAGAGUUCGCUGUAGAAAGCAGCAAAGUUACUCUGUCCUACACUUACUCCAAAACAGCCACUGGAAGUGAUUCUUUCUUCUGGUAUCGACAAUAUCCUGGAAAACCUCCAGAGUUCCUGAUCUCCCACUCAGGAACAGGAACACAAACUUCUCAGCCGCUUCCUGGUUUCUCCUUCAACGUGAAUGCUGAUAAAACCCAGAUGGAUCUGCUGAUCUCCUCUGCUGCAGUGACAGACUCUGCUGUGUACUACUGCGCUGUGAAGCCCACAGUGACAGGAAACACAAGAACCCUGUACAAAAACCUGCAGUACUCCACAGCAGCCACUAGAGGGCCUCACUCCCUGUUAAACUACUGAAUCAUGCAGUACUCCACAGCAGCCACUAGAGGGCCUCACUCCCUGUUAAACUACUGAAUCAUGCAGUACUCCACAGCAGCCACUAGAGGGCCUCACUCCCUGUUAAACUACUGAAUCAUGCAGUACUCCACAGCAGCCACUAGAGGGCCUCACUCCCUGUUCGGUUGUCUAAUGUUAGACCAAGCCAAACAUGGUUUUUCUCUUGUGCUGAUGAUCCUGACAGAUUGUUUUAGACUUUCUCAAUGUUUAUUAUCUUAUCUGCCAAAAAUCCCUUCCUAUUCUGUUUUUAGAAAUGAUAAUGAUGGAUUUUCAUUUCAUUUUUCUGCAGCUUAACAUUCAUCAAGCUGAACAGUCGCAUCGUUCCAUCACACACUAAGCAGAUGAAUAAAUGUAAGUACAUAUGAACAAUGAAAUGACUCCAAUUAAUUUAUGAACCAUCACCUGCUGUGGCCUGAAGGCAAAGUCUCACUCUUCUGUGUUCAAUCUAACGUCUAAUUGCUUCAGUGGCUCAUGAUGUUUUGGGCUUUUGCUCCUGGUUGAUUUGAUGAUCUGGAGGCUGAAU
Xiphophorus hellerii (green swordtail) is the source of this 2349-nucleotide non-coding RNA. Lineage: Eukaryota; Metazoa; Chordata; Actinopteri; Cyprinodontiformes; Poeciliidae. The record is from the annotation of a RefSeq genome assembly.